UAUACAUGCAUGCACAAGAGUAUACACA
RNAcentral lists this unclassified non-coding RNA (28 nucleotides) under Mus musculus (house mouse). Its description in RNAcentral is "oocyte_clustered_small_RNA10337". Lineage: Eukaryota; Metazoa; Chordata; Mammalia; Rodentia; Muridae. The record is from RNAcentral.